Non-coding RNA from Sarcophilus harrisii (Tasmanian devil), 579 nucleotides. The record is from the annotation of a RefSeq genome assembly. Lineage: Eukaryota; Metazoa; Chordata; Mammalia; Dasyuromorphia; Dasyuridae.
GCUCAGUAGCAUCCAAGGCCAGGGGAGGAGAUGGGGUCCCAGGCUCAGCUCCUCUGCUCUCUGCUGCUCUGGAUCUCAGGUUCCAGGGGGGACAUUGUGGUGACUCAGUCUCCAGAAUUUUUGUCAGUGUCUCCAGGAGAGAGGGUCACCAUUAGCUGCAAGACCAGCUCGGGUGUUAGUAAUUACUUAAAUUGGUACCAACAGAAGCCAGGGAAGGCUCCCAAGCUCCUAAUUUAUGCAGCAACCACCCUGCACUCUGGGGUCCCUGCCCGGUUCAGUGGCAGUGGCUCUGGGACAGAUUUCUCCCUCACAAUCAGCAAAGUGGAGGCUGAGGACGCUGCGGUCUAUCACUGUCAGCAGUGGGAUAGCUGGCCUCCCACAGUGAUACACCCCCAAACAAAAACCUGCCCAGCAACUGCUGAAGAGGCAUCAAUGCCCCAGGGGCUUCUCUUUCCCCAGAGCAAGGAUGGGGACAGCUUGUUUGGUCUGCCUGGGAGGGGGGAGGUUUUCAUGUCUCAGAGGAAGAUACUGGGGCUGUGACAAGUUCUGACCUUGAUUUCUUUUCCAGUCACUAAUAAA